AACGGUCUAUACCUGCGGUACCUGCGGAGGGAUCAUUAUCGAGAGUGCGAGGGUCGACUGUAGCUGGUCUUCACCCUCUCGAGGGGGGGGGGGAGGGCAUGUGCACGUGGCUCGCCUUCAUUUCCACACACUCACACUUGUGCACCAUAGGUCGAGGCCUCCCAUGAGGAGCCGUCCCGUGCUUUCGUUGCGGGACCGAGGUCUCGUUCCUCUUUCCACUCUAUCUGGUUUCACGCAUGU
This 240-nucleotide unclassified non-coding RNA is filed under the name soil metagenome. RNAcentral describes it as "partial contains 5.8S ribosomal RNA, internal transcribed spacer 2, and large subunit ribosomal RNA". The record is from RNAcentral.